AAAAAUGCAUGGAAGGGAAGAUACCAUGAUCAUAAAGGUGGCUUUCCCAAUGAGGUUUAGCCAUUGCAUUCAAGUAUACUGACCCCUGAGAUUUCCCGAAAUGUGGGAAACUCGACGUCAUAAUUUGUGGUAGGGGAGAAUUACGUUCAUGCUCUCCCU
Sorex fumeus (smoky shrew) is the source of this 159-nucleotide small nuclear RNA. RefSeq annotates it as U1 spliceosomal RNA. The record is from RefSeq and is a predicted model, not a curated record. Lineage: Eukaryota; Metazoa; Chordata; Mammalia; Eulipotyphla; Soricidae. The transcript has a single exon.